RNAcentral lists this transfer RNA (85 nucleotides) under Nitrospirota bacterium. RNAcentral's name for it is "Nitrospirae bacterium tRNA-Leu". It matches the Rfam family "tRNA". From Rfam's summary of the family: Transfer RNA (tRNA) molecules are approximately 80 nucleotides in length. The record is from RNAcentral. Lineage: Bacteria; Pseudomonadati; Nitrospirota.
GCCGGCGUGAUGGAAUUGGUAGACGUGCUGGACUCAAAAUCCAGUGGGAUUUAUUCCCGUGUGGGUUCGACUCCCACCGCCGGCA